AUGGGUGUAGCUCAGUCCGGGCAGAGCACUGGCCUCCAAAACCAGGUGUCGGGGGUUCGAAUCCCUCCAUCCAUG
This 75-nucleotide transfer RNA is filed under the name Streptomyces sp. ScaeMP-e83. RNAcentral's name for it is "tRNA_Trp_CCA". It matches the Rfam family "tRNA". From Rfam's summary of the family: Transfer RNA (tRNA) molecules are approximately 80 nucleotides in length. Their secondary structure includes four short double-helical elements and three loops (D, anti-codon, and T loops). Further hydrogen bonds mediate the characteristic L-shaped molecular structure. tRNAs have two regions of fundamental functional importance: the anti-codon, which is responsible for specific mRNA codon recognition, and the 3' end, to which the tRNAs corresponding amino acid is attached (by aminoacyl-tRNA synthetases). tRNAs cope with the degeneracy of the genetic code in two manners: having more than one tRNA (with a specific anti-codon) for a particular amino acid; and 'wobble' base-pairing, i.e. permitting non-standard base-pairing at the 3rd anti-codon position. Lineage: Bacteria; Bacillati; Actinomycetota; Actinomycetes; Kitasatosporales; Streptomycetaceae. The record is from RNAcentral.